Molecule: long non-coding RNA, 250 nt
Filed under: Elaeis guineensis (African oil palm)
Lineage: Eukaryota; Viridiplantae; Streptophyta; Magnoliopsida; Arecales; Arecaceae
Description: long non-coding RNA (EGUI_LNC013783)
Source: RNAcentral
CCCAAUCUGUUUUAUUUUAUAAAAAUUAUUUUUUAAAAUAAAAAUUUUAAAAACAUCUCGUGCCAUGGCCCAUAUGGGCCGUGCCGUGCUGUGCUAGCUCGAGCCUUGAAGGGCCGUGCCAGGCUUGGGCCAUGAACCACCAAACCUCCAGCCCAGCACGACUCGCUAUAGUAUUUGGCGGGCUGUGCCAAGCACGAUCCAGUUCAUGCUGGGCCGGCCCGAUCCGAUGCCCACCUCUAUUCUUGACCCC